AUUGAACGCUGGCGGCAGGCCUAACACAUGCAAGUCGAACGAGUGGCGGACGGGUGAGUAAUGUCUGGGAAACUGCCCGAUGGAGGGGGAUAAAUACUGGAACCGGUAGCUAAUACCGCAUACCAUCGGAUGUGCCCAGAUGGGAUUAGCUAGUAGGUGGGGUAACGGCUCAACUAGGCGACGAUCCCUAGCUGGUCUGAGAGGAUGAACAGCCACACUGGAACUGAGACACGGUCCAUACUCCUACGGGAGGCAGCAGUGGGGAAUAUUGCACAAUGGGCGCAAGCAUGAUGCAACCAUGCCGCGUGUAUGAAGAAGGCCUUCGGGUUGUAAAGUACUUUCAGCGAGGAGGCGUUACUCGCAGAAGAAGCACCGGCUAACUCCGUGCCAGCAGCCGCGGUAAUAC
This 406-nucleotide ribosomal RNA is filed under the name uncultured bacterium. Its description in RNAcentral is "partial 16S ribosomal RNA". It matches the Rfam family "Bacterial small subunit ribosomal RNA", at positions 30 to 526 of the family's 1533-position model. The record is from RNAcentral.